RNAcentral lists this ribosomal RNA (429 nucleotides) under Fusobacteriota bacterium. Its description in RNAcentral is "Fusobacteria bacterium partial 16S ribosomal RNA". It matches the Rfam family "Bacterial small subunit ribosomal RNA", at positions 355 to 776 of the family's 1533-position model. The record is from RNAcentral. Lineage: Bacteria; Fusobacteriati; Fusobacteriota.
UGGGGAAUCUUCCGCAAUGGACGAAAGUCUGACGGAGCAACGCCGCGUGAGUGAAGACGGCCUUCGGGUUGUAAAGCUCUGUGAUCCGGGACGAAAGAGCCUGAGGUGAAUAGCCUAAGGAAGCGACGGUACCGGAAAAGCAAGCCACGGCUAACUACGUGCCAGCAGCCGCGGUAAUACGUAGGUGGCAAGCGUUGUCCGGAAUUAUUGGGCGUAAAGCGCGCGCAGGCGGCUUCCUAAGUCCAUCUUAAAAGUGCGGGGCUUAACCCCGGGAUGGGAUGGAAACUGGGAAGCUGGAGUAUCGGAGAGGAAAGUGGAAUUCCUAGUGGAGCGGUGAAAUGCGUAGAGAUUAGGAAGAACACCGGUGGCGAAGGCGACUUUCUGGACGAAAACUGACGCUGAGGCGCGAAAGCGUGGGGAGCAAACAGG